AAAGUGUCACCCCAGAUAAGCCUGUGCAUAAAGUGUCACCAUAGAUUAGCCUGUGCAUUAAGUGUCACCCCAGAUUAGCCUGUGCAUAAAGUGACACCCCAGAUAAGCCAGUGCAUAAAGUGUCACCCCAGAUUAGCCUGUGCAUUAAGUGUCACCCUAGAUUAGCCAGUGCAUAAAGUGUCACCCCAGAUUAGCCUGUGCAUUAAGUGUCACCCCAGAUUAGCCUGUGCAUUAAGUGUCACCCCAGAUUAGACUGUGCAUAAAGUGUCACCCCAGAUUAGCCUGUGCAGUCAGCUUUAAUGGUAUUUUCCAUUUCAAAAAGUUUUUUCUUAGCAUGAAUCCAGUCUAGGCGGAAAGUGUGGUCACUGAUAAGCCUGCAGGCACUGUGCAGGUGAAAAGUGUGGUCACUGAUAAGCCUGCAGGGACUGUGCAGGUGGAAAGUGUGGUCACUGAUAAGCCUGCAGGCACUGUGCAGGUGGAGAGUGUGGUCACUGAUAAGCCUGCAGGCACUGUGUAGGUGGAAAGUGUGGUCACUGAUAAGCCUGCAGGCACUGUGUAGGUGGAAAGUGUGGUCACUGAUAAGCCUGCAGGCACUGUGCAGGUGGAGAGUGUGGUCACUGAUAAGCCUGCAGGUACUGUGCAGGUGGAGAGUGUGGUCACUGAUAAGCCUGCAGGCACUGUGCAGGUGGAGAGUGUGGUCACUGAUAAGCCUGUAGGCACUGUGUAGGUGGAAAGUGUGGUCACUGAUAAGCCUGCAGGCACUGUGCAGGUGGAAAGUGUGGUCACUGAUAAGCCUGCAGGUACUGUGCAGGUGGAAAGUGUGGUCACUGAUAAGCCUGCAUGUACUGUGCAGGUGGAAAGUGUGGUCACUGAUAAGCCUGCAGGUACUGUGCAGGUGGAAAGUGUGGUCACUGAUAAGCCUGCAGGUACUGUGCAGGUGGAAAGUGUGGUCACUGAUAAGCCUUUAGGUACUGUGCAGGUGGAAAUUGUGGUCACUGAUAAGCCUGUAGGCAC
Long non-coding RNA from Dreissena polymorpha, 1014 nucleotides. RefSeq lists it as uncharacterized. The record is from RefSeq and is a predicted model, not a curated record. Lineage: Eukaryota; Metazoa; Mollusca; Bivalvia; Myida; Dreissenidae. The transcript is spliced from 4 exons.